This 127-nucleotide small RNA is filed under the name Marmota monax (woodchuck). The record is from RNAcentral. Lineage: Eukaryota; Metazoa; Chordata; Mammalia; Rodentia; Sciuridae.
GCUGGGCACAGUGGCCCACGCCUGUAAUCCUAGCAGCUUGGGAGGCUGAGGCAGGAGGAUGAUGAGUUCAAAGCCAGCCUCAGUUAUUUAGUGAGGCCGUAUGCAAUUCAGUGAGACCUUGUCUCUA